RNAcentral lists this ribosomal RNA (465 nucleotides) under Vreelandella stevensii. RNAcentral's name for it is "partial 16S ribosomal RNA". It matches the Rfam family "Bacterial small subunit ribosomal RNA", at positions 338 to 795 of the family's 1533-position model. Lineage: Bacteria; Pseudomonadati; Pseudomonadota; Gammaproteobacteria; Oceanospirillales; Halomonadaceae. The record is from RNAcentral.
CCUACGGGUGGCAGCAGUGGGGAAUAUUGGACAAUGGGCGAAAGCCUGAUCCAGCCAUGCCGCGUGUGUGAAGAAGGCCUUCGGGUUGUAAAGCACUUUCAGUGGGGAAGAAAGCCUUGGGGCUAAUACCCUCGAGGAAGGACAUCACCCACAGAAGAAGCACCGGCUAACUCCGUGCCAGCAGCCGCGGUAAUACGGAGGGUGCGAGCGUUAAUCGGAAUUACUGGGCGUAAAGCGCGCGUAGGCGGUCUGAUAAGCCGGUUGUGAAAGCCCCGGGCUCAACCUGGGAACGGCAUCCGGAACUGUCAGGCUAGAGUGCAGGAGAGGAAGGUAGAAUUCCCGGUGUAGCGGUGAAAUGCGUAGAGAUCGGGAGGAAUACCAGUGGCGAAGGCGGCCUUCUGGACUGACACUGACGCUGAGGUGCGAAAGCGUGGGUAGCAAACAGGAUUAGAGACCCUGGUAGUC